GCCGCAAGCUGAGCCGCGUUGCGUGAGCCGGGAUGCCGCGAGCUGAGCCGCGUGGCGCGAGCUGGGAGGCCAUGGGCUGAGCUGUGCGUCGUGAGCUAGGAAGCCGUGAACUGAGAGGCCACGAGCUGAGCCGCGUCCCGCGAGCUGUGAUGCCACGAGCUGAGCCGCGUGCCGUGAGCUAGGAGGCAGCGAGCUGAGCCACGUCCCACGAGUUAGGAAGCCGUGAGCUCAGCCGUGUCCUGCGAGCCAAGAGGCCGCAUUCUGUACCGCAUCGAGCCACUUUGCUGAACUUGUAGUCUGAAGCGUCCAACACCUUGUCAUCUUGUCCUCUCUUCUGGAGCCAGAUUCAGUCAGAAUCAGAGACUCAGAGCAAGUCAGUCUAAGAGAAUAACGAAUCUUCCCUCGAAAUAAUAAACUCCUCAGGCUCCUUUUUGGGACAGUGAGAUUUGGCCAGCGCUAUGCAUUGAACCCAACCACAACCUAAAUAAUAAAAACCAUGGAAGGUAAAGUUUUCCCUCACCAGAGCACUCGAGGAUGCCGCGAGCUGAGCCGCAUGGCGCGAGCUGGGAGGCCAUGGGCGGAGCUGCGUGUCGUGAGCUAGCAAGCCGUGAGCUGAGAGGCCACGAGCUGAGCCGCGUCCCGAGAGCUUGGAGGCAGCGAGCUGAGCCACGUCCCACGAGCUGUGAUGACACGAGCUGAGCCGCGUCCCGUGAGCUAGGAGGCAGCGAGCUGAGCUACGUCUCACGAGUUAGGAAGCCGUGAGCUCAGCCUUGUCCCGUGAGCCAGGAGGCUGCAAACUGUACCGCAUCGAACCAAUUUGCUGAACUUGUAGUCUGAAGCGUCCAACACCUUGUCAUCCUAUCCUCUCUUCUGGAGCCAGAUUCAGUCAGAGUCAGAUACUCAGAGCAAGUCAUACUAAGUGAAUAACGAAUCUUCCCUCAAAAUAAUAAACUCCUCAGGCUCCUUUUUGGGACAGUGAGAUUUGGCCUGCACUGUGCAUGGAACCCAACCACAACCAAACUGAUAAAAACCCUGGAAGGUAAAGUUUUCCCUCUCCAGAGUACUCGAGGAUGGCAUGAGCUGGGAGGCUGCAGCCAGACCAGGGAGGAGAAUGAGGAGGUGUGGCUGAAAUGAUGGGCAAGACGUGACAGUUUUGGCUGACAAUUUUUUGGUUUUAUUAUAGUGGAGUUUGGCCAACAGUUGGCAUUAGGGAUGUGGUUAUGGUUUUUAUUAUAGGUAAUGUGUAGUUAGGUGACAGCAAGAAUUAUGGUUUGGUUUGCCAUUAUAUUUAGAGUAAGUUUUGAAAUUAGACUGGGCUGGUGUGGGACUGGGCUUAGAACUAGGCAUGAAGGUUAGGGGUGGGUUAGUUUCUUAUGGGGCCUCAUCAAGUUUUUUUUUCCUUCUAUUUAGCUGCAAACAAAAAUAUCAAACAUACUACAAUAUAAGGAAUAGCACAAAUAUCAGAUAGCAUGGAAACUCUGGGGGGAAGAAAACAAGAAAUAUAUAAAGAUAUUAGCACUAUUAACAAUAAUACGACAAUUAUUAAAAUAAAAUACAAUGCAAACACCUCACAUACUUAUAGUUAUUUUGUAUAAAUUAAGGUCAAGUCACAUAUCAAAUAAAUUAGCAAAUGAUUACACGGCAACACCAGACAAAUAACCACAGGCCCUGUCUUGAUGUAUGGAUAUGUGUCUUAUAAGCUCUUUUUUUCAGGGAAAUACAGAAGGAAAGACAGAACAGAAGAAAGGAAAAAUAGAAGAAUAAUAAAAUCAACUAAAUAAUAUGAAUAAUACAAUGAUUAGGCAUUGUGACGUGGUGAACAUGUGUAGACUAUUGAGGCUGCGCACUGUACUUCCCCCUUAAGGGUCGGCAUGUGUGUGUUUGCGUCUUUCUGUGUGUUGGGGAAGAUAAAAGCAACACAUCAAGGGGUAGAGAUGGAAGAGAGGAGAGGUGGGAGCAAAGGGAAGAUUGAUGGGGGGAAGGUUGUUGUUUGGUCAACGCAGGUUGGGCCGCCGUGCACCGUGAGCGGAGCAGAGGAAGAGGCAGUGGAGCCCCCAGGACAGCGCCCCCCCAUGGCAGACCACACCGAACUGCUACCCCUGUCUAGGAUAGAGUUUGUUUGUCUUUUUUUCCCCUUUAGUCUGUAUGAAUAGGAGAGAAGACUGAUCUGGUGUCAUGCAUUAGAAGAAGCAGGUCCUGCCAGCUGGUCCAGCCCAGAGCAGGAGAGAUCAGUAGGCGGGAAAGCGGCCAGCGGAGACGCAGACCAGCUUGGAGACCCAUCCUCAGGACACUGGACGACCCAACGCCGGUGAUGUGAUUAGGAGGCUGGUGAUGUCAACAUUGGUUGAAAGAAAGAGAGGAAGAAGAAGAAAGGAAGACAAGACUCGACAUUUGCCGGCGAUGAGAGCUGGUGCAAUUGUAAAAAAAAUACAUACAAAUAAAGAUGAUAUUAAUGAAAUGAACGAGAAAA
Molecule: non-coding RNA, 2470 nt
Organism: Paramormyrops kingsleyae
Lineage: Eukaryota; Metazoa; Chordata; Actinopteri; Osteoglossiformes; Mormyridae
Source: RefSeq, a predicted model, not a curated record